This 1478-nucleotide ribosomal RNA is filed under the name metagenome. Its description in RNAcentral is "bacterial SSU rRNA". It matches the Rfam family "Bacterial small subunit ribosomal RNA". The record is from RNAcentral.
AGAGUUUGAUCCUGGCUCAGGAUAAACGCUAGCGGGAGGCCUAACACAUGCAAGUCGAACGGUAAUUUGAGUUCGCUCAAGUGAGAGUGGCGCACGGGUGAGUAACGCGUAUGCAACCUGCCCUAUACUGGGGGAUAGCCCGGAGAAAUUCGGAUUAAUACCCCAUAGUUCUAUUGUAUCGCAUGGUAUGAUAGCUAAAGUUUCGGCGGUAUAGGAUGGGCAUGCGUGUCAUUAGCUAGUUGGUAAGGUAACGGCUUACCAAGGCUACGAUGACUAGGGGGCCUGAGAGGGUAAUCCCCCACACUGGUACUGAGACACGGACCAGACUCCUACGGGAGGCAGCAGUGAGGAGUAUUGGUCAAUGGACGGAAGUCUGAACCAGCCAUCCCGCGUGCAGGAUGACGGCCCUACGGGUUGUAAACUGCUUUUCUGAGGAAAGAAAAUCUCUGACGUGUCAGAGUUUGCCGGUACCUCAGGAAUAAGCAUCGGCUAACUCCGUGCCAGCAGCCGCGGUAAUACGGAGGAUGCAAGCGUUAUCCGGAUUUAUUGGGUUUAAAGGGUGCGUAGGUGGUUUUAUAAGUCAGUGGUGAAAGUCUGCAGCUUAACUGUAGGAUUGCCAUUGAAACUGUAAGACUUGAGUGUGGUUGAGGUAGGCGGAAUGUGUAGUGUAGCGGUGAAAUGCUUAGAUAUUACACAGAACUCCAAUUGCGAAGGCAGCUUACUAAGCCAUUACUGACACUGAGGCACGAAAGCGUGGGGAUCAAACAGGAUUAGAUACCCUGGUAGUCCACGCCGUAAACGAUGCUCACUCGUUGUUGGCGAUACACAGUCAGCGACUAAGCGAAAGUGAUAAGUGAGCCACCUGGGGAGUACGCUCGCAAGGGUGAAACUCAAAGGAAUUGACGGGGGCCCGCACAAGCGGAGGAACAUGUGGUUUAAUUCGAUGAUACGCGAGGAACCUUACCUGGGCUUAAAUGUGAGAUGAUCGCCGGUGAAAGCUGGUUUCCCUUCGGGGCAACUUACAAGGUGCUGCAUGGUUGUCGUCAGCUCGUGCCGUGAGGUGUCGGGUUAAGUCCCAUAACGAGCGCAACCCCUAUCGUUAGUUGCCAUCGGGUAAUGCCGGGAACUCUAACGAGACUGCCACCGUAAGGUGUGAGGAAGGUGGGGAUGACGUCAAAUCAGCACGGCCCUUAUGUCCAGGGCUACACACGUGUUACAAUGGACGGUACAGAGGGCAGCUACCUUGCGAAAGGAUGCUAAUCUCGAAAACCGUUCUCAGUUCGGAUUGGAGUCUGCAACUCGACUCCAUGAAGCUGGAUUCGCUAGUAAUCGCGCAUCAGCCAUGGCGCGGUGAAUACGUUCCCGGGCCUUGUACACACCGCCCGUCAAGCCAUGGGAGCCGGGAGUACCUGAAGUACGUAACCGCAAGGAGCGUCCUAGGGUAAAACUGGUGACUGGGGCUAAGUCGGAACAAGGUA